This 107-nucleotide small RNA is filed under the name Marmota monax (woodchuck). The record is from RNAcentral. Lineage: Eukaryota; Metazoa; Chordata; Mammalia; Rodentia; Sciuridae.
GCUGGGUGCAGUGGUGCACACUUGUAAUCCCAGCAACUUGGGAGGCUGAGGCAGAAGGAUCACAAGUUCAAAGCUAGCCUCGGCAACUCAGUGAGACCCUGUCUCUA